Long non-coding RNA from Folsomia candida, 1540 nucleotides. RefSeq lists it as uncharacterized. The transcript is spliced from 2 exons. The record is from RefSeq and is a predicted model, not a curated record. Lineage: Eukaryota; Metazoa; Arthropoda; Collembola; Entomobryomorpha; Isotomidae.
UUCACAUUCUCUCUCAAGGAACAAGUCGCAUACUAAAUUCUUCUAAAGUCUUUAAAGAUCUCAUUCUUUGAGUAAAUCUGGAACAUAUCAGUAUCAUCCAUCAAUAAGUCUCCCGAAGUCUAAAUUUAUCCAGAAUUGUAUAUUGUAAAUGAAUCCAAUCGGAAUAUUUUACCCGAAACGACACCCCAACAACACAAAUUUUUACCACACGGAAGAAAUUGGGGUCCACAAAGUGUGCAAACUUGGAGAUCAAAUCGUUAUUAAAAUGGUCGUCGAAUUAUUCCAUCCGGACGAAAUAAAUGUGCGAACUUUAAACAACUCCGUCAUAAUUGAAGGCAAUCACGGAAUCGGGGAACACGACCAUUUAUUCCACCAAGUUACCCGCUCCUUCCAAAGGACGUUUCCACUCCCUCCGAACGCAGUUUUGGACCGCUUAACGUGCAACGUCGGACCGGACGGCUGACUCACCGUGGUCGUACCACUUAUCCCAGGAGAUGAGGGUGAAUUGAAGGGAACGUUGCACAAAGUGACGCAUCCGUUCGUCGAUGUGACCCCACACUUGCCAAGUUGGCAUGAAACCUUCCAGCUGAAGAUGGAAUGUCCUGGAGUGAAAAUUAGCAAGGAGCAGGUCGCGGUAAGGAUAAAUAUUUCAUGGUGAAAAUAUCUUUUACAUUUUCUUAAGCCGAGUACGGAGGACGUCAUUUCACGAGUGAAAUCGAAGACAGUGAACUGCGUGCAAUUUUGACAAAAUUUCAGGAUCCUCAAAAAAUUGGUUUUUUUACAAGGCUUGUAUCGUGAAAUCGACCCCCUAUUUUCACCAGCACCCUCGAUUUGGGAAACCAGGAGAAAUACUUGUACGAUACCUUCAAUUUUUGUAAACGCGGCUCAUUCAGGUCAAUUAUUUUAAUUUUUAAAAUUUUUUAAAAAUCAAUUUCUUUUUGGGGGGGGGGGCAAAGUGAUAUGAUCAUUAAUGAUGAUGUCCUGGCAUUGUGAAACUAUGUCGUGAAAUUUCAAGGAACAUUUCUCAGUUUUUUUUCACGAGGUGCAAGUAUCGUUAAAAAUGCUUAUUUUUUCACGGCUCGUGAAACAUACGUCCUCUGUACUUGGCUUUAGGUGGGGCGUAAAUAUGUAUUUAUAUAAUUUAAGAUAUCCCUCGAAAUCCCUAACUUCCUGCCGGACGAGGUACAAGUAAAGACCGUGGGUGACGAGUUGAUCAUCUUGGGAAGUCGGCACGAUGAUGGCGAGGAUGUCGUCCAAGGUCUCGGAGGAACCGGGAGCUGUGGCAAGAUUGGGGUUAAGGCCAACUUCACGAGGAAAUAUCCACUCCCACUGAAUUCCAAGAAAGACGCGAUUUACUGCGAAUUUAGUCAAAAUAUUGGCAAGGACAGCCCCACGUUAAGAGUUAUAGUGCCACGAGUCCCAUCAGUCGUGGGAGACGAGGAGAUAGAGCAUGUUAUAAAUAUUGUGUAAUAAAUUAUGCAUCCUCACGAUACAAGAGAAUAAACAGGAGUACUGCUGAAUUUUUAACGUAUUUACAUAA